GUGGGUAUAGCUCAGUGGUAGAACAUGUGCUUAGCAUGCAUGAGGUCCUGGAUUCUAUCCCUAGUACCUCCA
Molecule: transfer RNA, 72 nt
Filed under: Camelus bactrianus (Bactrian camel)
Lineage: Eukaryota; Metazoa; Chordata; Mammalia; Artiodactyla; Camelidae
Also listed under: 1 other name
Rfam family: tRNA
About the family: Transfer RNA (tRNA) molecules are approximately 80 nucleotides in length. Their secondary structure includes four short double-helical elements and three loops (D, anti-codon, and T loops).
Source: Rfam by way of RNAcentral